AACUGUUGGAAGAUAUAUUUUUCUCUGACAACUCUGAGUGCACAUCAUUAGAGGUAGAAACACCUACCAAUAUAUAUAUUCGCGCUGGAAAGCCAUGCGGGCUGAGAAGAGAAGGCACAUAUUGUUGAGUAUGAUUCUUUUGCUCAUCACCUCCAGCCAAUGCAUGGACAGCAAGGAGGUAAAGGAGUCGGAAAGGAAAACUCUGCUUAAUCUAAUCCUGCAAGUGAUCGAGGACAAGCCCGCGUCCAGACGCGUCACCAGUGGCCUCUACUCUGUAUCUCAAGAUGUGAAGUUUUCCUCUCGUGAAAAGACUCCACAUUUGUCCAAGCCGGACAACAGCAGACCAUUAGAUUAUAAAAGAUGUGCACGAUUGCUAACGAGGCUAGCUAUGAGUCCCCUUUGCACACAAUCAUAGAAACCGCAUGUCCUGAGGAUAUAAACGAAGAAACUCCAGAGAUGUUGGAGUAAAUUAUUUUUUCCAAGGAAGUGCCUUCAAAUCACUGCAAUUAACUGUCAUUGUUUUCAUGUCAUUUCCAUUUACAA
This is a long non-coding RNA of Sinocyclocheilus grahami, 543 nucleotides long. RefSeq lists it as uncharacterized. The record is from RefSeq and is a predicted model, not a curated record. NCBI's taxonomy places the organism in Eukaryota, Metazoa, Chordata, Actinopteri, Cypriniformes, Cyprinidae. The transcript has 4 exons.